UCUCUUUGCUAGAGGGCACUUCAACCGUGUUCUUUCUACGAUUUCAUCAUUGUUCAAGACAGUGUUAUAAUAUUUCAUCUAGUAUAAAUUAACAACUGAUAUUUCAAAAAAGAAAAAUAUAAUUUCGAUAUCUCGAACAUAACAGCAGAUAAUGGAGCUGCGAUACUUGAAGAUGGACAUUCGAUGGGCGUUCGAUCGCGUUAGCAAUAACCAUAGCAAUAACCAAAGCUAAUAGCUUUUUGCAAUGCGGGUAAAACUAUAAUAAUGCACAUAACUUUACGCCAAAUAGUGCAAUAUCGAGCAAAUUGCGUUUAUUGAGGGCACACAUAAGCAAUUUUACGUCCGUUUUUACCUCGUUAUAAGCUUCCUGCAGAUAUGUCUGGAACUUUUGUACCGGUGCCGCAUCCAUCACAUGAGCCUCUUCGAACUUUUUCUUAAAAUCAUCGGGUUUUGCGUGGUGAGCCAAAACAGCACCCUCUCCACCCACGACAUCCGACAUAUACUGUCGCGCUCGCAUGAUUACCUCAGAUAGUUGAAGCUUUAAUAAAAAGGAAAUAUAAUGACUAAUGAUAAAAAGAGCUACGAACCAAAAGUUGUGGACGACCGAGCGCUGUCAAUUUAACAGCCGUGAUUCCGGCGCCCAUAGAAGUACCUGCAAAGAUAUCAACCUUAAAUUACUUUUUGCUUUGAAUUAUUUCUUUUCUUAUGCAAGACAUAAUAGGAUCACUCAAAUGCGAUGCUUUUCACGAUUUUUUCAAAUACGUACACAUUAUGUUAACCAAUGCAUACCAUCAUACUAUAAUUGUUAACAUAAUUGGAAACAUAAUUCACAUAACGACAUAAUACAGAUGUGUAUAUCAAAAGCGGAAAAAAAAUUAAGUAAAGAGAUUAAAUUAAAAUAAACUUUGACAGCUAUUGUUUCUUAUCCUCUUACUAGGGCUCAAAUUAAAGUACGUAUUAGGAGACUCGUGAAAUAUCUCUGUCUCGUUCCAAUCUAAUGCCUUCGUAAUCAUUUAAUGGCAUUCAUAAUAUUCCUGGAUAACUUCGAAAAUGAUGUAUAAAAAAGAAGAUUGUAACUGAUUCUGAUUCACUUUUCUCAAAUCGAGACAUUCUUUGAUCUAUCUCUUUGAAAAGGAAGCAACAAAAGCGAGAGUUAGAUAACGAUUAAAAAAAGAGAAUGAAGAGAAAGAGAGAAAACGAAAGAAAAAAUAAGCAACCACUGAGGAUGAUUAUUGUUCGUUAGUCAUCGGCUGAAUAUUUAUGUCAAAGACUAUUCGGGCAAAUGUUAUGUCACAUCUUCCACUGGAAAGUAAGUAGAGUCCGGCAAAAUCUACUUGCGGUAUGAUAUUUAUAGAGUGCCUAAUGGACUCACAAAAUUUCAAGUUUCUAUGUCAUAUUCUUCUCAUCUGAAAUUAAUUAUUUUUUCGACUAAUAUUUAUAAUUUUUCCUUCAAAUUAAGUAUAGUACAUGAUUUGUUAUUUUUAAUAUACAUAUGUAUUAUACAAAAUGUCUUUGUUUAUUUAUUUAUAAGUACUCCAUUUGUUGAGAUAGUUAUAGUUUGUGAUAUAUCUUUUUAUAAGAUGUAAUUCUUUGAUUUGUUCGAAUAAGUAUGUCAACAGUUAUCAAUAAUUAAGAAAAUUUUCUUACAUAAAUACAUAUAUUUGAAGAAUUAAGAGCUAU
Long non-coding RNA from Vespa velutina, 1680 nucleotides. RefSeq lists it as uncharacterized. NCBI's taxonomy places the organism in Eukaryota, Metazoa, Arthropoda, Insecta, Hymenoptera, Vespidae. The transcript has 4 exons. The record is from RefSeq and is a predicted model, not a curated record.